This 468-nucleotide ribosomal RNA is filed under the name uncultured bacterium. Its description in RNAcentral is "bacterial SSU rRNA". It matches the Rfam family "Bacterial small subunit ribosomal RNA", at positions 329 to 794 of the family's 1533-position model. The record is from RNAcentral.
CACCAGACUCCUACGGGAGGCAGCAGUGAGGAAUAUUGGUCAAUGGCCGAGAGGCUGAACCAGCCAAGUCGCGUGAGGGAUGACGGCCCUACGGGUUGUAAACCUCUUUUGCCGGGGAGCAAAGUGCCGCACGUGUGCGGUUCGGAGAGUACCCGGAGAAAAAGCAUCGGCUAACUCCGCGCCAGCAGCCGCGGUAAUACGUAGGUGGCAAGCGUUGUCCGGAAUUACUGGGUGUAAAGGGAGCGUAGGCGGGAAGCCAAGUCAGCUGUGAAAACUACGGGCUUAACCUGUAGACUGCAGUUGAAACUGGCUUUCUUGAGUGAAGUAGAGGUUGGCGGAAUUCCGAGUGUAGCGGUGAAAUGCGUAGAUAUUCGGAGGAACACCGGUGGCGAAGGCGGCCAACUGGGCUUUAACUGACGCUGAGGCUCGAAAGUGUGGGGAGCAAACAGGAUUAGAUACCCCCGUAGG